AUGAGAUCUUUCGAUCAAUAAAAAAUCUGAUCUUUGGAUCGGUGAGCUCCGAAGGGCAAAGGUGGAGAUAAGAUUUUCUGAUCAAUGAAAAUCUCAUCCUCAGAUCUGUGAACCUCGGAGGGCCAAGAUCAAGACAAGAUCUUCUGAUCAAUAAAAAUCUAAUUUCUGGAUUGGUAAGCCUCGAAGGGCACGGAGAUGAGAUCUUUCAAUUAAUAAAAAUCUGAUCUCC
RNAcentral lists this long non-coding RNA (229 nucleotides) under Elaeis guineensis (African oil palm). RNAcentral's name for it is "long non-coding RNA (EGUI_LNC015069)". Lineage: Eukaryota; Viridiplantae; Streptophyta; Magnoliopsida; Arecales; Arecaceae. The record is from RNAcentral.